RNAcentral lists this ribosomal RNA (274 nucleotides) under uncultured bacterium. RNAcentral describes it as "partial 16S ribosomal RNA". It matches the Rfam family "Bacterial small subunit ribosomal RNA", at positions 523 to 796 of the family's 1533-position model. The record is from RNAcentral.
AUACGGAGGGUGCAAGCGUUAUUCGGAAUCACAGGGCGUAAAGGACGCGUAGGCGGGUUGGCAAGUCAGAUGUGAAAUCCUACAGCUUAACUGUAGAACUGCACUUGAAACUGCUAACCUAGAGUAUGGGAGGGGGAGAUGGAAUUAGUGGUGUAGGGGUAAAAUCCGUAGAUAUCACUAGGAAUACCGAAAGCGAAGGCGAUCUCCUGGAACAUAACUGACGCUAAGGCGUGAAAGCGUGGGGAGCGAACAGGAUUAGAUACCCCAGUAGUCC